AGCAGUAGGGAAUUUUCGGCAAUGGGCGAAAGCCUGACCGAGCAACGCCGCGUGAGUGAUGACGGCCUUCGGGUUGUAAAGCUCUGUUGUAAGGGAAGAACAGGUAGUAGAGGAAAUGSUAUUACUUUGACGGUACCUUACCAGAAAGCCACGGCUAASUACGYGCCAGCAGCCGCGGUAAUASGUAGGUGGCGAGCGUUAUCCGGAAUUAUUGGGCGUAAAGGGUGCGUGGGCGGCUUAUUAAGUCUGUGGUUAAAGUGCGGGGCUCAACUCCGUAUUGCCAUAGAAACUGGUAGGCUAGAGUGCRGGAGAGGGCAGUGGAAUUCCAUGUGUAGCGGUAAAAUGCGUAGAUAUAUGGAGGAACACCGGUGGCGAAGGCGGCUGCCUGGCCUGCAACUGACGYUGAGGCACGAAAGCGUGGGGAGCAAAUAGGAUUAGAUACCYUUGUCGUSCACGCWGUAAACGAUGAAUACUAAGUGUGGAGYAAUUCAGUGCYGUAG
Molecule: ribosomal RNA, 500 nt
Filed under: uncultured bacterium
Lineage: Bacteria
Description: partial 16S ribosomal RNA
Rfam family: Bacterial small subunit ribosomal RNA
Source: RNAcentral